This 1234-nucleotide long non-coding RNA is filed under the name Aquilegia coerulea. RNAcentral's name for it is "long non-coding RNA (ACOE_LNC000993)". Lineage: Eukaryota; Viridiplantae; Streptophyta; Magnoliopsida; Ranunculales; Ranunculaceae. The record is from RNAcentral.
AUCAAGCUUCGAGUUUUCAUAAAGCUUGUGCCAUUGAGCAGCUCUUGGUUCACCAGAAUAGAUGGGAUUGGAAUUUGGUCGCAAGCUUGGAAACCUCUUCCAAGCCCAUUGCUGCAUAAUUUGAAAUGGCUUAUCAUUGUUUCUAAUAAAAAAAAGGUGGCAUUGAAUUUACAAAGUUAUUGGCUUGGCCCAAGUAAAAAAAUAAUCUUGGUAAAAAUUAGUGAUGGUAUCAUUUUGAAUUAAAAACUAAUCCUUAUGGAUACGUAUCAUUAUUCAUUAAGUCUGUUUGAUUCAGGCUAGUAAAUUGAUUUACUGGUAAAACAGGUGGAAUAAAGAAAAGAUUAGAGAGGAAGGAAGAAAAACACGAACGAACCGGUUCUAAAUUCUUUUCUUAACUUUUGCUAAAUUACUAUUCUAUCCACUAAAAAUUAUUUCGAGAAACAGAUUUUCCAAUCAAACAGACCCUAAAAUUGACAAUCAUCAUAUUUUGCUAAACUACCAUUUUUUUAUAUAUCCUAGUUUUUUGUUCAAUUUAAUAUUUUGAGCAUUUGAGAUAGUGAUAUUAGUAAAAAUUUCGAUUACUGGCGAAAAUAACAUACCCCCACUAAUAUUGAUCCGAUCUGACUAGGUCCAUAUCCAUUUCUAAUAUCUAGGUUAAAAUUGUCAUAUUGGAUUUAGAUACAACCUGACAAAGAAAAAUGACAAAUUUUGCUGACAAUUUAUUCACCAACACUGAUUUAAGAGCAUUUUGAACGAUGUAUGAAAGAAUAUAUUAACCAAAUUUGUAAUUAAAUAGGAUAUAUGUAGAUCUACUAAAAAAAACCAAAUCUAUCUCAGAUCAAGAAUGUAGUAUAGCAAAAUUUUGUGAACUUAGAAAUAAAAUAAAACUAAAUAUGAAAUUAAAAAAAUUCUUUAAAUAAAAGGCUUACCUACGAUAGAAUUGGGAUCAGACCUGUGACCUCAAAGCCUUUUAACAUAAAAUAGCUAAGCUCACACCGGCCUCCAUAGAUUCAGACCGAGAACUAAGAGAUGAAGAACGAAAUUAGACAAAAAAAACUAGAAAAUGAUGAAUGAUUCACUAAACAUUUUGAUCUUAAGAAAAUGUUGAACAUAGCCUAUUACACCAAUUAUUUACUUGUGACGAUAUAUCAUUAAUACAUCCUUAUCUAAACACGUCAUCGAAUAAUUAUUUUUUAUGGCAAAUCCUGUAAAAGUUUCUACGGAAUAAUGAACA